This 301-nucleotide ribosomal RNA is filed under the name uncultured bacterium. Its description in RNAcentral is "partial 16S ribosomal RNA". It matches the Rfam family "Bacterial small subunit ribosomal RNA", at positions 509 to 807 of the family's 1533-position model. The record is from RNAcentral.
CAGCCGCCACGGUAAUACGAAGGGUGCAAGCGUUACUCGGAAAUACUGGGCGUAAAGCGUGCGUAGGUGGUGGUUUAAGUCCGUUGUGAAAGCCCUGGGCUCAACCUGGGAAUUGCAGUGGAUACUGGGUCACUAGAGUGUGGUAGAGGAUAGUGGAAUUUCCGGUGUAGCAGUGAAAUGCGUAGAGAUCGGAAGGAACAUCUGUGGCGAAGGCGACUAUCUGGGCCAACACUGACACUGAGGCACGAAAGCGUGGGGAGCAAACAGGAUUAGAGACCCCCGUAGUCCCUGUCUCUUAUAC